GGAACAUGUAUUCUAUGGUGCCGAGGAGGACUAUAAAUUUGCAAGUGCCCAAACGCCAGUCUCUUUGAAGACAUGAGGAAGGGAGGUCCAAUUUCGUCCAAGGUUGUGCCACCAUUCAGGUCUUCAGACAUGGGAGGGCUGCAAAUGGGAAUAACAUGAUCCCCUUUAAGACUGAAUGAAUUACACCAACUCUAAUUGAAGGAAAACAUGCUCCAUUUAACUCAAUUGAAGGUGAUUCAACUCGAUUCAAUGCGUUUAAAGGAUAAACAUGGUACUGCUGGGACUGGAUUGAUGGUUAAAUGGAAAGGGUAUUGAAGGAAACUAUUUAGUGGACUGCUUGCAUUUCAGGAAAUAUCCAGGUGAACUCCAUUGAAGGAAAACAUGAUUGUAAAAUGAAAUGCUACAACUCAAGGAAUAAUGUAGACCAAGCAUGGAGGUGCUUGGACUGGAUUUGAUGCCUAAAGUCAAAGCAAGGAAUACAUGCUGCUUGUAUGACAUUCUAUGCUUCAACUCCAUUGAAGUGCAGACUCUUCGGAACCCUGAGCACAGUUCUUUCCUAAAUGGCUACCCGUCUACAUUCUCUGUGUGUAUGUCAUUUGUCUUCCAAAGACUGACAAAAAGCAUGGAGCUGCUUGGACAGGAAUUGAUGCUAUAACUUGAUUCAAGGCUGCCACAGGAUUGUUUCUGUCUGGACUUGGGUGGUUAACAGAAUGAUACAUCCUGCAGAUGAUUCGUUAAACUCCAGGCCAGACCGCUUGGCUCAACCACCACCAACUGGGUUCACAUGGCCCUUUGACACAAUCUAAUCCUGGAGUGUCAUUGCAUAAUCCUGUUUUGCAAUGUCAGUGGUUUCUGAACAAAUGUACCACAUAAUGACUUGUUCAAUGUAUUGCCUUGGUUAUGCUCCCAACUGCAUGAACCUAUUGGGACCUUGUCAAUCGGUGAAAACAAUAAAAUUGGCCUUGUAAA
Molecule: long non-coding RNA, 969 nt
Organism: Coregonus clupeaformis (lake whitefish)
Lineage: Eukaryota; Metazoa; Chordata; Actinopteri; Salmoniformes; Salmonidae
Exons: 11
Source: RefSeq, a predicted model, not a curated record